AGAGUUUGAUCCUGGCUCAGGAUGAACGCUGGCGGCGUGCCUAAUACAUGCAAGUCGAACGAAUCUCUUUUAGAGAUGAGUGGCGAACGGGUGAGUAAUACAUAGGUAACCUGCCCCUGUGCGGGGGAUAACAGGAGGAAACUCCUGCUAAUACCGCAUAGCCAUGAGCACCGCAUGGAGCUCAUGCCAAAUAUCCUUUAUGGGAUAGCGCAGGGAUGGACCUAUGGCGCAUUAGCUGGUUGGCGGGGCAACGGCCCACCAAGGCAACGAUGCGUAGCCGGCCUGAGAGGGCGGACGGCCACAUUGGGACUGAGACACGGCCCAGACUCCUACGGGAAGCAGCAGUAGGGAAUUUUCGGCAAUGGGGGAAACCCUGACCGAGCAACGCCGCGUGAGCGAAGAAGGCCUUCGGGUCGUAAAGCUCUGUUGUAAAGGAAGAACGGCGCAUACAGGAAAUGGUAUGCGAGUGACGGUACUUUACCAGAAAGCCACGGCUAACUACGUGCCAGCAGCCGCGGUAAUACGUAGGUGGCGAGCGUUAUCCGGAAUCAUUGGGCGUAAAGAGGGAGCAGGCGGCCGCAAGGGUCUGUGGUGAAAGACCGAAGCUAAACUUCGGUAAGCCAUGGAAACCGGGCGGCUAGAGUGCGGAAGAGGAUCGUGGAAUUCCAUGUGUAGCGGUGAAAUGCGUAGAUAUAUGGAGGAACACCAGUGGCGAAGGCGACGGUCUGGGCCGCAACUGACGCUCAUUCCCGAAAGCGUGGGGAGCAAAUAGGAUUAGAUACCCUAGUAGUCCACGCCGUAAACGAUGGUCACUAAGUGUCGGGGGUCAAACCCCGGUGCUGCAGUCAACGCAAUAAGUGACCCGCCUGAGUAGUACGUUCGCAAGAAUGAAACUCAAAUGAAUUGACGG
RNAcentral lists this ribosomal RNA (910 nucleotides) under uncultured bacterium. Its description in RNAcentral is "bacterial SSU rRNA". It matches the Rfam family "Bacterial small subunit ribosomal RNA", at positions 8 to 916 of the family's 1533-position model. The record is from RNAcentral.